CCUACGGGAGGCAGCAGUGGGGAAUAUUGGACAAUGGGGGCAACCCUGAUCCAGCCAUGCCGCGUGUGUGAAGAAGGCCCUCGGGUUGUAAAGCACUUUCAGCGAGGAAGAACGCCUAGCGGUUAAUACCCGCUAGGAAAGACAUCACUCGCAGAAGAAGCACCGGCUAACUCCGUGCCAGCAGCCGCGGUAAUACGGAGGGUGCAAGCGUUAAUCGGAAUUACUGGGCGUAAAGCGCGCGUAGGUGGCUUGAUAAGCCGGUUGUGAAAGCCCCGGGCUCAACCUGGGAACGGCAUCCGGAACUGUCAAGCUAGAGUGCAGGAGAGGAAGGUAGAAUUCCCGGUGUAGCGGUGAAAUGCGUAGAGAUCGGGAGGAAUACCAGUGGCGAAGGCGGCCUUCUGGACUGACACUGACACUGAGGUGCGAAAGCGUGGGUAGCAAACAGGAUUAGAUGCCCUGGUAGUCCACGCCGUAAACGAUGUCGACCAGCCGUUGGGUGCCUAGCGCACUUUGUGGCGAAGUUAACGCGAUAAGUCGACCGCCUGGGGAGUACGGCCGCAAGGUUAAAACUCAAAUGAAUUGACGGA
RNAcentral lists this ribosomal RNA (587 nucleotides) under uncultured bacterium. RNAcentral describes it as "bacterial SSU rRNA". It matches the Rfam family "Bacterial small subunit ribosomal RNA", at positions 338 to 917 of the family's 1533-position model. The record is from RNAcentral.